RNAcentral lists this ribosomal RNA (511 nucleotides) under uncultured bacterium. RNAcentral's name for it is "bacterial SSU rRNA". It matches the Rfam family "Bacterial small subunit ribosomal RNA", at positions 29 to 532 of the family's 1533-position model. The record is from RNAcentral.
AUUGAACGCUGGCGGAAUGCUUUACACAUGCAAGUCGAGCGGCAGCGCGGGGGCAACCCUGGCGGCGAGCGGCGAACGGGUGAGUAACAUAUCGGAACGUACCCUGUCGUGGGGGAUAACUAUCCGAAAGGAUAGCUAAUACCGCAUACGACCUGAGGGUGAAAGCGGGGGACCGCAAGGCCUCGCGCGAUAGGAGCGGCCGAUAUCGGAUUAGCUAGUUGGUGAGGUAAAGGCUCACCAAGGCGACGGUCCGUAGCGGGUCUGAGAGGACGACCCGCCACACUGGAACUGAGACACGGGUCCAGACUCCUACGGGAGGCAGCAGUGGGGAAUUUUGGACAAUGGGGGCAACCCUGAUCCAGCCAUUCCGCGUGAGUGAAGAAGGCCUUCGGGUUGUAAAGCUCUUUCAGCAGGAACGAAACGGUGAGGGUUAAUACCCUUUACUAAUGACGGUACCUGAAGAAGAAGCACCGGCUAACUACGUGCCAGCAGCCGCGGUAAAGUGUGACUG